GUGGGGAAUAUUGCGCAAUGGGGGAAACCCUGACGCAGCGACGCCGUGUGAGGGAAGAAGGCUUUCGGGUCGUAAACCUCUGUCAGAAAGGAAGAACCUCCCAAGUCCGAAUAGGGCUUGGGACUGACGGUACUUUCAAAGGAAGCACCGGCUAACUCCGUGCCAGCAGCCGCGGUAAUACGGAGGGUGCAAGCGUUAAUCGGAAUCACUGGGCGUAAAGCGCGCGUAGGCCGCGUUGUAAGUCGGACGUGAAAGCCCUCGGCUCAACCGGGGAACUGCGUUCGAUACUGCGAGGCUUGAGUCCUGGAGAGGGUGGUGGAAUUCCGGGUGUAGGAGUGAAAUCCGUAGAUAUCCGGAGGAACACCGGUGGCGAAGGCGGCCACCUGGACAGGUACUGACGCUGAGGCGCGAAAGCGUGGGGAGCAAACAGGAUUAGAUACCCUAGUAGUCC
Molecule: ribosomal RNA, 451 nt
Filed under: uncultured bacterium
Lineage: Bacteria
Description: partial 16S ribosomal RNA
Rfam family: Bacterial small subunit ribosomal RNA
Source: RNAcentral